Jackrogersella minutella is the source of this 110-nucleotide non-coding RNA. Lineage: Eukaryota; Fungi; Ascomycota; Sordariomycetes; Xylariales; Hypoxylaceae. The record is from the annotation of a GenBank genome assembly.
GGCUCAAUGGUCUAGUGGUAGGAUACUCGCUUCGGGCUAACUUCGGUCCAUCUCAUCCAAUGAGAUCUCGAGAAUGUGAGUGGUCCCGGGUUCAAAUCCCGGUUGAGCCC